AGUAAUACAUAGGCAACCUGCCUUUAUGAGGGGGAGUAACCGAGGGAAACUUUGGCUAAUACCGCAUGAAGACUCUAAAGGCAUCUUAGAGGGAGUAAAAAGUUGGGAAACAACGCAUGAAGAUGGGCUUAUGGCGCAUUAGCUAGUUGGUGAGAUAGAAGCCCACCAAGGUAAUGAUGCGUAGCCGACCUGAGAGGGUGAACGGCCACAUUGGGACUGAGACACGGCCCAAACUCCUACGGGAGGCAGCAGUAGGGAAUAUUUGGGGCAAUGGGGGCAACCCUGACCCAGCGACGCCGCGUGGGGGAAGACGGCCUUCGGGUUGUAAACCUCUUUUGUACGGGAAGAAGGAAGUGACGGUACUGUACGAAUAAGUCCCGGCUAACUACGUGCCAGCAGCCGC
This 403-nucleotide ribosomal RNA is filed under the name uncultured bacterium. RNAcentral describes it as "bacterial SSU rRNA". It matches the Rfam family "Bacterial small subunit ribosomal RNA", at positions 109 to 518 of the family's 1533-position model. The record is from RNAcentral.